AUUGAACGCUGGCGGCAGGCCUAACACAUGCAAGUCGAACGGUAACAGGAAGAAGCUUGCUUCUUUGCUGACGAGUGGCGGACGGGUGAGUAAUGUCUGGGAAACUGCCUGAUGGAGGGGGAUAACUACUGGAAACGGUAGCUAAUACCGCAUAACGUCGCAAGACCAAAGAGGGGGACCUUCGGGCCUCUUGCCAUCGGAUGUGCCCAGAUGGGAUUAGCUAGUAGGUGGGGUAACGGCUCACCUAGGCGACGAUCCCUAGCUGGUCUGAGAGGAUGACCAGCCACACUGGAACUGAGACACGGUCCAGACUCCUACGGGAGGCAGCAGUGGGGAAUAUUGCACAAUGGGCGCAAGCCUGAUGCAGCCAUGCCGCGUGUAUGAAGAAGGCCUUCGGGUUGUAAAGUACUUUCAGCGGGGAGGAGGGGAGUAAAGUUAAUACCCUUGCUCAUUGACGUUACCCGCAGAAGAAGCACCGGCUAACUCCGUG
Molecule: ribosomal RNA, 490 nt
Filed under: uncultured bacterium
Lineage: Bacteria
Description: partial 16S ribosomal RNA
Rfam family: Bacterial small subunit ribosomal RNA
Source: RNAcentral